This 1009-nucleotide long non-coding RNA is filed under the name Macaca nemestrina (pig-tailed macaque). RNAcentral describes it as "lncRNA (ENSMNEG00000045600.1)". Lineage: Eukaryota; Metazoa; Chordata; Mammalia; Primates; Cercopithecidae. The record is from RNAcentral.
GCAAGACUGUUGGAAUGAGCUUGGGAGCUUCGCUCACCCCACCCUGGGUGCCUGUUACCAGAAAUUGCAUGACCCUCUUAUAUGUUUCUUCCCACACAGAAACAUGAUGCUGACAAUGACCCUCAUCUUACGGAUGAAACCAAGAAAAGCAAGAAAGCCAGCAAAACCAGGGAGAGCCCUAAAGAGGCAGAGGUGAGUGGAGGGUGUGAAGUUCCCUCCUGUCCUCUGGAGAGUGUUGCUUUCCUUUUCUUUUAGCGCUUGCUUGGCUUUUCUCCCAAAGGUUCAAAUCCAGAGAACCAACAUACUGAUGUCUGAGAAAGGAAAAUUAAAUACUGAACUCUAUCAUAUGCAAUGUGCUGCCAGGAACUUUGAAGGAGAGUCCACGGAUCUGGCCAGCCACCUGCAGUAUUCCCAGCAGCGUGUGGGAGAGUUGGAUUGGACUCUUUGCUGUCUCGACGCAGCAGAAGAACAUGGACAGGUAUAACAAGGAGGUAACCAAAGACAGAGAUGCCCUCAGGCUGAAGUUAUACAAGAACAGCCAAAACAAUGAGGACCUGAAGCAGAAGAACUCAGAACAAGAAGAGAAGCUUCAAGUCCUAGUGACUGCGAAGUCAGGGAUUUAACUCAACUUGAAGGAGCUGCACAGGAAGCUGGAGAGGACUGAGCUCCUGCUUCAGGCAAGAGGCUGCAGCCCCAGGGGUGGUGGGAGCCCCAUCCAGCUGAGGACAUGGUCUAGGGAUCAUGCAGGGUAUGGGGAGGCUCCAGCCAAGAGCUGGAAAAUUUGGGUCCUUGUUCUGGUCCUGCCAUAGAAUCCUCUAGAGACUGCUAAAAAUCUACAAACUGGGGCCCUGCCGUAGACCUGGGGAAUCAGAAUCUCAGGGUUAGGGCUUACAUUUUUUAAAAAAUUGCAUCAUGGAUGAAAACCAUUAUUUUAUAGAUUACACUUAUAUGGCUAGCUCAUGAGUCUGUUUAUUUCCUUCUGAGGUUCAAGCCAACACUUCAACUAUUC